Molecule: ribosomal RNA, 426 nt
Filed under: uncultured bacterium
Lineage: Bacteria
Description: bacterial SSU rRNA
Rfam family: Bacterial small subunit ribosomal RNA
Source: RNAcentral
GUGGGGGAUAUUGCACAAUGGAGGAAACUCUGAUGCAGCGACGCCGCGUGAGGGAAGACGGUUUUCGGAUUGUAAACCUCUGUCUUCAGGGACGAACAAAUGACGGUACCUGAGGAGGAAGCUCCGGCUAACUACGUGCCAGCAGCCGCGGUAAUACGUAGGGAGCAAGCGUUGUCCGGAAUUACUGGGUGUAAAGGGAGCGUAGGCGGGAAUGUAAGUUGAAUGUCAAAUCUACCGGCUCAACUGGUAGUCGCGUUCAAAACUGCGUUUCUUGAGUGAAGUAGAGGCAGGCGGAAUUCCUAGUGUAGCGGUGAAAUGCGUAGAUAUUAGGAGGAACACCAGUGGCGAAGGCGGCCUGCUGGGCUUUUACUGACGCUGAGGCUCGAAAGUGUGGGUAGCAAACAGGAUUAGAAACCCUAGUAGUCC